ACGUAUUGUUUGGAGUUCCGUACCAGAGUUGGACUUGGAGCAUGAAGUUACCCGUUUUUUGAACGAGUUUUUUUUUAAGUUCUCGAUAUCCGGCGCUAGGUGGCUACUAGCCGAUUAAUUUGGAGUAGUAACUUAAUGCAACACUAGAUGGCGAAAGGAAUGCUUUUCCAAACCAGCCGAACCAGUCGAAUUUUAGCUGAAUUCGAUGAAAUGUCGCUAUUGUUUUCAAUAUUCUUGGUUUUUAUGGACUCAAUUCAACCCAAAAUUAUAUGCCUGCUGUCACGCUGCUGGGUGAGUCAAUAGGUUUCACCCGCUGCUGUCGUCUCAUCAAGCUAUUGCAUUAGCAUUAGGUUAUGCAUUUAGAUUGUAUGGAUCAUGGACAUUCCAAGUUUUUACACCAAGUUGCUGAAUAAAUUUUGUAAUUAUUCAAAACUUCCGCGUCCUCAAAGAAAACUUGUGUCCUCAAAGUUGUGUAUGUAACAGGUUGCAUACAAGUUCUAUUUAGAAAUGUUCAUAACCAGACAGGAGAGGAGGACCAUUCAGCUUUACUACCAGCUUAUCCAUGGAUCAAACAGCAACACUGCCAAGACCCACAUCAUCUCAUCUUUCUGUUAUCAUGUUCUCCGAUGGCACUUGCAAUCGCUCAAGUUAUCCGGCCCGAUUGCUAAACUCAAUCUCCGCUUCUGGUCUGACCAAGCAGAGAAGCACCAUGGCUGCCUUCGUUAAACACUCAAGCGCCCUAUCCCUACACCCGAUGGACUUGGCUUGCGAGAGGGAUUUCUUAAUUGCACCUCUAGGAACCCAAUUCCCAACAAUCUCCGUGCGAUAUAAAGUAGCUAUUCCUACUUAUUUGACUUAACUGUUAAAAGUUAAUCGAAUAUCUGCUUUUAAUUCUCUUUCGGAUCCCACCGCCAUGGCCGCCAUCCAGCUUUUCAUGGCAAUGAGCUUGGAAAUCGCCAAAUCAAGGAAAUAGUUGAAACAACCCACGUCCCCAGAUCCCACUGGUGCAAAAACUCAAACUCAACCAACCACUUGGACCCAAUGCAACAGUUUCAAGUACAGUGUGGCGGUUGAAGUUACCUCUAGAAUCCAAUGAUGUAGAACCAGUAGUUAAAUGAAGUGAACUCAAACAUUCAGUGACAACAACACCUUCCUGUGUUAACUGUGUUUGCCUAAAAUAAGAAUUCCUGUUGUGUUAUGAUCCCAAUGGUUUAUCAAGUUUAAUAUCCAAUUUUUAUUUUUAACGUUCAACAUUAUUCUGUUUUUCAAAUUCUUAGCAGCAUGGAAGAUUCCCAAUAUGGAUAGGACUUGCUUCUAUGAUUUGGCCAUUCUCGUCAGGCGUAAGCUGUCGCGUUAUUUCUUUUAUUUCAUCAGCAGUACCUUGACUACCUUCGAUUGGCAGAACCUUCCGGUAUCAUCGUCUACUGUCAUGAUAUGGUACGGUCAAGAUAUUGUGUAACUUGUACAUCCAUAUCUUAUACUCCAUAAAUUAUAACCACACCACCUAAACCAAACACCAUACCUUGACAUCAGAUGCUGCUAUUUUGGCAACAGCAAAGAUUCUACUUGAUUGGUUAUCAUCACAGAUUAUCUAUUUUGCUUAAUAUACUGAAUGAUUUCUUUCAUCUGGAUUUCUUUCCAAGCAAAAGUAAAGGGGCAAUAACACGGUCGACUCAAAAAGUGCUUUGUUUGCUACUACCUUGACGUUUUGCUGGCUGACCGUGCCCUCUUUGACUUCGAGCCCGCUCUCGAUUUGAAGUAAUGCUUGGUGUCGUUUCCAUCUUCUUUUAAAUAUUUGUUAAUCAUGCGUCGCUAUUCCAUGGACGACCUGACGAGAGACGACUCGACGCUCAGCGACGACUAACUAAUAACGCGUUGUCAUUUACAGCAAUUCUGCCAACUUACGUGCUGUCCUUUCGUCGCUCCGAUUCAUCAAUGAGUUGCUACGAGCUGAGUUGCUACCAGCUACGCAGCCAGCUGCCAGAAUCAUUUGAUUACCCACAGCUGACUUGUAAGUUACUCCAGCUCUCAACACAGCACAGAGUUUUACUCUUUAGAUUAUGUUUGGCUGUUUGCGAUAUGUUUAUGAGGGAGUUUACCUGAGUUCGACGACUAAUCACUCCCUAGCAAAACUGGCCUCGCACUCCUCUCUUCUUCCUUGUCCAGGUAAUCUCCCUGGACACAGUCAAUCAAGGCAGUGUCUCUCCCUUCUUGAUUGACUGAACUUUGCAAGGAAAAUUGAACAUUUCAUAUUGAUAAAAUUAAUUUAGUGGAGGUAAAAUAUAAAUAUGUAUGAUGAGGGAUGAUAAACAUAUGUACAUAACAGUGUCAAUAAGCUUGUAAAUUAUAUUUUCUUCUUUAAAAUACAAUGUUGUAUAUAUUUAUA
Molecule: long non-coding RNA, 2386 nt
Filed under: Daphnia pulex (common water flea)
Lineage: Eukaryota; Metazoa; Arthropoda; Branchiopoda; Diplostraca; Daphniidae
Description: uncharacterized LOC124191212
Source: RNAcentral